AGUUUUUCAGAGUCGUGAAUUGUUAGAAAUGGUGGAACGUGAAACGCGCCCUCUUUCCUUUCUCAGUUUAUAAUCACAUUGUGAUUUUAUAUGGGUUGGUUGUGGAAUAAUGAUUGGCUUCAUGGGAACUAGAAGAGUUCAGUCUCUUUCAUUACGAGUUGAUACAUGGAAUUAAUCAUAAGAUCGUUAUACCCAAUUUACGGCCUAGAAUGCAGUUUUGCACCCUAAGUGGUUAUGCAUGCGGGCCCUUCAUUGACAUAAUGACCAUGAGCUCCACAUUCUAGUGCAGGCAUUCCCAGGGAAUCCUUAAUAAAGGCUUGAGAUGGCAUCUUGCAUAGAUUGAUGCACAUCCCCACGCAAUUGCUCUGCUCUAGAAACCUACAAAAAGGUUUUUUGCAAUAUUAGAGAAUUACCUGGAUGAUCUAAGGGUGAUGAAAUCUUUAAUGAUGAUUUUGAUAUUGACGAUGAUUAUGAUGAUGAUGACCAUCAUGAUAGCAAUGGAGAAGAAGAGUCCAACACACAAUCAUUGGAGCAGGUUAUUCACGGCAUGAAAGUGUCUUAAGUUGGUGGGGUGGGUUAAACUGUAGAGCUAAUUAGAUUCGAGGGAGAUGUUAAAGUUACCUGCAUUUCUUUACAUGGACUACGUUCUUUUCUCUUCUUCCAUUGAGCUCCGAUGCCCUGACCUUGUGGUGUUAAACAAAGAAUGUUAGAUUUUAUUCACAAAGUUGAUAAGAAAAAUCAUAUGCCUGCUUUCAUGUUUAUGCAAAUCAUGACACAAGUUGUAUGGCUUGCUGUUGCAUUCUUAAGGUUGUGCCACCCCCCAUCCUAUCAUUGGCUUUCUGUACAUUUAUUGAAGGAUUGGAAUGAAACUUCAUUGUGAGUAACCAGGAGCCGCACGUGCUUUGUGCACCUGAUGUUUACUAAA
This is a long non-coding RNA of Theobroma cacao (cacao), 925 nucleotides long. RefSeq lists it as uncharacterized. The record is from RefSeq and is a predicted model, not a curated record. Lineage: Eukaryota; Viridiplantae; Streptophyta; Magnoliopsida; Malvales; Malvaceae.